This 390-nucleotide ribosomal RNA is filed under the name Coxiella endosymbiont of Ornithodoros rostratus. RNAcentral's name for it is "bacterial LSU rRNA". It matches the Rfam family "Bacterial large subunit ribosomal RNA", at positions 152 to 579 of the family's 2925-position model. The record is from RNAcentral. Lineage: Bacteria; Pseudomonadati; Pseudomonadota; Gammaproteobacteria; Legionellales; Coxiellaceae.
CGUACACUGAAUCCAUAGGUGUACGAGGCAAACCUGGGGAACUGAAACAUCUAAGUACCCAGAGGAAAAGAAAUCAAUCGAGAUUCCGUCAGUAGCGGUGAGCGAAAGCGGAACAGCCCAGUUACUAAGUCAUUAUUUGUUCUAGCAGAAUGUUCUGGAAAGUUCAGCCAUAGCGGGUGAUAGCCCCGUACGCGAAAGAGUAAAUAAUGUGGGUAACGAUGAGUAGGUCGGGACACGUGGUAUCUUGACUGAACAUGGGGGGACCAUCCUCCAAGGCUAAAUACUCCUUACUGACCGAUAGCGAACCAGUACCGUGAGGGAAAGGUGAAAAGAACCCCGGCGAGGGGAGUGAAAUAGAACCUGAAACCGUAUGCGUACAAGCAGUAGGAG